CCCAGGGGUCCCUCCCUCUUCCUUACUAGUGUGGGAUUGAUCUUGAAUGGGCCAAUCCUGUGCUGGGGAUAGACCACGCCCCCUACUUCCUGGCAUGGGAUUGGUCUUGGAUUGAACCAAUCCCAUGCUAGGGAGGGGGCACUCCCCCUACUUCCAGGAGGGGAUUGGUCUAUAUAAGGACCAAUCCCGUGCCUAGGAAAAAAGUUUGAAUCUAAGUAGAUUCAAGGUUGAUGGAGUUAGUUAAUUUCAGUCAGGUGAAACUCUGUUUUUUUUGUUACUUUAUUAAAGUUAAUAAUAUAAAAAGAGUUUUUCUUAUUUUAAUUAUUUCACAGCUCCACAGCUAAAAGAUAAAGAUCAAGCAUCUAAGCUUCCACUCUUGAAUCAUCAUCGUCAUCACAGCCACCACCACCAUCAUCAUUAUUAUCAUCAUAGCUUAUAUUUUUCCUGCUUUAAGAUACCCCAAGAUGAUUUAUUUUCUAUCAUCUUAUGAAUAUUGUUUUGUAUCCUGUGACAAAAUCCAGAAGAAAGAAAGAGAAGAAAAAUCUUCCUUCAACACUGCUUACAGAAUCACUCUUUGUUAUUACUUCAAAGAAACUCUUGGGUAUCUAACAUAAAUUUAAAAUCAAACUCUCCAGGACAUGUGACAAUUUAUUUUACUGUUGUAAAUUUAUGAAACAUAAUGUUUAGAUACAUAUUUUCUUCUUCUUUUCUUCCCUUGAGCAAUAUAAUGAUUUCACAAUACCUUGUCAGGUUAGAAGAUUAAAAGGCAAAGAAAAAAGUCUUGAAAGUGUGGGAGUGAUGCAAUCUACAACUCAGAAAAUGUACCUCCCCAGUCACACACCACCAGACAAGUAACUGUCAAUUCUUAAAAUGAGUAAGCUUAUAUGGUCUUGUUGCAUGAUAAGCAAUGAUCUAGUAAUGAAAACUAUGAAUGAAAGGCAUUGUUUUCUACUUCAAUGCAUCUGUACCCUGGGAUAACCAGAAAUAAUUAUUGAAACAAGCCACUUGUUAAUAAUAAUUACUCUCCCUUCUAUGAAAACAAGAACAAACAGCAAUUAUCUAUAAUUUCUUAUUUGCAAAACACUCUCAUUAUACCAAGACUCCUUGUCUAUGUUUGAUAGUAUUAUUUGGCUCUUGGUAAAAUUCCACAAAUUUUUGUUUUGAUUCUAGGGCCUUUUCAGGUUUCAUAUAUUCUAUGCAUGGCAAACCUGUGUGUUUCUUGCUGUAAGACAAGGAAGCUUCUGCUUGCCACUUUAGUCAGGCAAAAAAAAAAAUCAUCCGUUUUUGGAGUCUUUAAAAAAGUGGAUGCUUUAUUGGCAUAAAUGAAUGACAUAAACUCAAUUCCCCACUGUUUUAUCAAUAAGAAACAUUUUAAGGACAAAGAUUGGAUUUUGACAGUCAGCAGCCAACUUAAGAAAGCAUCAGAAAAAUCUUGGUGAAGAAAAAGAAUAUUUUGAACUAUCAUCCCAACUCAAAUCACUCUUUUAAAUUAUAUUCCCUUAAUAUUUGUCUUUUGUCUGUUUUGUCUGUUUUAAUUUACUUUGAUUUAUAAAUUUGUUUCAUUUGUGUUGAAUUUAUAGCAAUUCAACUUAACCUCCUCCAUGUCAAGGAUCA
Molecule: long non-coding RNA, 1614 nt
Organism: Monodelphis domestica (gray short-tailed opossum)
Lineage: Eukaryota; Metazoa; Chordata; Mammalia; Didelphimorphia; Didelphidae
Source: Ensembl